AUGAACGCUGGCGGCAUGCCUUACACAUGCCAGUCGAACGGCAGCAUGACCUAGCUUGCUAGGUUGAUGGCGAGUGGCGAACGGGUGAGUAAUGCAUCGGAACGUGCCUUUUAGUGGGGGAUAACGUAGCGAAAGUUACGCUAAUACCGCAUAUUCUCUGAGGAGGAAAGCAGGGGACCUUCGGGCCUUGCGCUAGAAGAGCGGCCGAUGUCGGAUUAGCUAGUUGGUGAGGUAAAGGCUCACCAAGGCAACGAUCCGUAGCGGGUCUGAGAGGAUGAUCCGCCACACUGGGACUGAGACACGGCCCAGACUCCUACGGGAGGCAGCAGUGGGGAAUUUUGGACAAUGGGCGCAAGCCUGAUCCAGCCAUGCCGCGUGAGUGAAGAAGGCCUUCGGGUUGUAAAGCUCUUUCGGCUGGGAAGAAAUCGCACCCUCUAAUACAGGGUGUGGAUGACGGUACCAGCAGAAGAAGCACCGGCUAACUACGUG
This 489-nucleotide ribosomal RNA is filed under the name uncultured bacterium. Its description in RNAcentral is "partial 16S ribosomal RNA". It matches the Rfam family "Bacterial small subunit ribosomal RNA", at positions 29 to 507 of the family's 1533-position model. The record is from RNAcentral.